CACUGGUCCCCUCGCAACGAUAAGCCGCGAACCCCGCCAGGUCCGGAAGGAAGCAACGGUAGUGGUGGACUCGUGUGCCGGGGUGUGGCUAGUGGGA
This 97-nucleotide signal recognition particle RNA is filed under the name Legionellales bacterium. RNAcentral describes it as "signal recognition particle sRNA small type". It matches the Rfam family "Bacterial small signal recognition particle RNA". From Rfam's summary of the family: The signal recognition particle (SRP) is a universally conserved ribonucleoprotein involved in the co-translational targeting of proteins to membranes. Archaeal SRP consists of a 7S RNA and homologues of the eukaryotic SRP19 and SRP54 proteins. The record is from RNAcentral. Lineage: Bacteria; Pseudomonadati; Pseudomonadota; Gammaproteobacteria; Legionellales.